RNAcentral lists this long non-coding RNA (215 nucleotides) under Elaeis guineensis (African oil palm). RNAcentral's name for it is "long non-coding RNA (EGUI_LNC072391)". Lineage: Eukaryota; Viridiplantae; Streptophyta; Magnoliopsida; Arecales; Arecaceae. The record is from RNAcentral.
CUGAAACUCCUGCUGCGAGCAGUCUACUUCGAACCCUUACAGCAGACGGCCACCUCGGAUCCCUACUGUAAGCAAAUCCCAUCCGAGCCUCUGCUGUAAACAUAUUCCUCCCGAACUUCCAUUAUAGGUAGACUUCAAUCAAGCUUCUUCGUAGUCGGGUCCCGCGACAACCGAUCUUCGAUCGAGCUCCUACAAUUGGAUAGGACUCAUCGGCC